UACGUAGGGGGCAAGCGUUAUCCGGAUUUACUGGGUGUAAAGGGAGCGUAGACGGUACGCCAAGUCUGAAGUGAAAUGCCGCAGCUUAACUGCGGAACUGCUUUGGAAACUGGCUGGCUUGAGUUGGGGAAAGGCAGGCGGAAUGCGCGGUGUAGCGGUGAAAUGCAUAGAUAUCACGCAGAACUCCGAUUGCGAAGGCAGCAUACCGGCGCGCAACUGACGCUCAUGCACGAAAGCGUGGGUAUCGAACAGG
RNAcentral lists this ribosomal RNA (253 nucleotides) under uncultured bacterium. RNAcentral describes it as "partial 16S ribosomal RNA". It matches the Rfam family "Bacterial small subunit ribosomal RNA", at positions 524 to 776 of the family's 1533-position model. The record is from RNAcentral.